UACGAAGGGGGCUAGCGUUGUUCGGAAUCACUGGGUGUAAAGGGCGCGUAGGCGGCUUUAUAAGUCGGGGGUGAAAGCCUGUGGCUCAACCACAGAAUUGCCUUCGAUACUGUAGAGCUUGAGACCGGAAGAGGUAAGUGGAACUGCGAGUGUAGAGGUGAAAUUCGUAGAUAUUCGCAAGAACACCAGUGGCGAAGGCGGCUUACUGGUCCGGUUCUGACGCUGAGGCGCGAAAGCGUGGGGAGCAAACAGG
Molecule: ribosomal RNA, 253 nt
Filed under: uncultured bacterium
Lineage: Bacteria
Description: partial 16S ribosomal RNA
Rfam family: Bacterial small subunit ribosomal RNA
Source: RNAcentral